AACGCGGGGCAACCUGGCGACGAGUGGCGAACGGGUGAGUAAUGCAUCGGAACGUGCCCAGUAGUGGGGGAUAGCCCGGCGAAAGCCGGAUUAAUACCGCAUACGACCUAAGGGUGAAAGCGGGGGAUCGCAAGACCUCGCGCUAUUGGAGCGGCCGAUGUCGGAUUAGCUAGUUGGUGGGGUAAAAGCCUACCAAGGCGACGAUCCGUAGCUGGUCUGAGAGGACGACCAGCCACACUGGGACUGAGACACGGCCCAGACUCCUACGGGAGGCAGCAGUGGGGAAUUUUGGACAAUGGGCGCAAGCCUGAUCCAGCCAUGCCGCGUGCGGGAAGAAGGGCUUCGGGUUGUAAACCGCUUUUGUCAGGGAAGAAACG
Molecule: ribosomal RNA, 377 nt
Filed under: uncultured Ideonella sp.
Lineage: Bacteria; Pseudomonadati; Pseudomonadota; Betaproteobacteria; Burkholderiales; Sphaerotilaceae
Description: bacterial SSU rRNA
Rfam family: Bacterial small subunit ribosomal RNA
Source: RNAcentral